Hippocampus zosterae (dwarf seahorse) is the source of this 554-nucleotide long non-coding RNA. RefSeq lists it as uncharacterized. The transcript is spliced from 4 exons. Lineage: Eukaryota; Metazoa; Chordata; Actinopteri; Syngnathiformes; Syngnathidae. The record is from RefSeq and is a predicted model, not a curated record.
CAAAGAAGAAGAUAUUGCCAGCAACGGCGCGAACCCAAGACAACAUGGCGGAGCGAAAUGCUCGAUGGACGGCCAAAUUGGAAGGAGAUCAACUCCACGGAUUCACUUUAAAAAAAAAUCGGCAGUGCCGCUUCAUGGAAGAUGAGAGUUGAUAUAUUGACACCAUGAAAAAAUCACCAACGAGAAAACUACAAACUGGAGUUGGCAGGAAGCAGAAAUGCACAUCCGGAAGUCAGCCUCUGGGUGCCAUUUUCCUGUUUUCUCCUCCUGCAGCACCGCCUUGACAUCAGCGAGGUGAGAGGCUUCUCCUGAAAAUGGAGCCGUGAGGGGUCAAGGCUCAGAGAGUCAAAUUGAAGCCGUUGCCGUGGAGCGAAGCGUUCCUCCCCCGGGGGUUGUUUGGACCCGUAUCGAAGGGCCUCGAUGACAUGGCCGCCACGCUUGGCUGCUUUUUAACCGCCGCCGGCUGCUGGGCGACGCGCAUGGCGGAAGAGAAGUGGCAACCGUUUAUAUCGCAUCACUUUGAGGAAACUAAAAGAAGAUUCUCACACAGGCAG